This 428-nucleotide ribosomal RNA is filed under the name uncultured bacterium. Its description in RNAcentral is "partial 16S ribosomal RNA". It matches the Rfam family "Bacterial small subunit ribosomal RNA", at positions 354 to 796 of the family's 1533-position model. The record is from RNAcentral.
GUGGGGAAUAUUGGGCAAUGGGCGCAAGCCUGACCCAGCAACGCCGCGUGAGGGAAGAAGGCUUUCGGGUUGUAAACCUCUGUCCUUGGUGACGAAACAAAUGACGGUAGCCAAGGAGGAAGCCCCGGCUAACUACGUGCCAGCAGCCGCGGUAAUACGUAGGGGGCGAGCGUUGUCCGGAAUUACUGGGCGUAAAGGGUGCGUAGGUGGCCUUUUAAGUUGGAUGUGAAAUACCCGGGCUUAACUUGGGGGGUGCAUACAAAACUGGGAGGCUAGAGUGCAGGAGAGGAAAGCGGAAUUCCUAGUGUAGCGGUGAAAUGCGUAGAUAUUAGGAGGAACACCAGUGGCGAAGGCGGCUUUCUGGACUGUAACUGACACUGAGGCACGAAAGCGUGGGGAGCAAACAGGAUUAGAUACCCGUGUAGUCC